GAUGAAGAACGUAGCGAAAUGCGAUACGUAAUGUGAAUUGCAGAAUUCAGUGAAUCAUCGAGUCUUUGAACGCACAUUGCGCCCCCUGGUAUUCCGGGGGGCAUGCCUGUUCGAGCGUCAUUUUACCACUCAAGCCUCGCUUGGUAUUGGGCAACGCGGUCCGCCGCGUGCCUCAAAUCGACCGGCUGGGUCUUCUGUCCCCUAAGCGUUGUGGAAACUUUCGCUAAAGGGUGUUCGGGAGGCUACGCCGUAAAACAACCCCAUUUCUAAGGUUGACCUCGGAUCAGGUAGGGAUACCCGCUGAACUUAAGCAUAUCAAUAAGCGGAGGA
Molecule: unclassified non-coding RNA, 330 nt
Filed under: soil metagenome
Description: partial contains 5.8S ribosomal RNA, internal transcribed spacer 2, and large subunit ribosomal RNA
Rfam family: 5.8S ribosomal RNA (bases 1-120)
Source: RNAcentral